CACUAUCAUUAACUGAAUCCAUAGGUUAAUGAGGCGAACCGGGGGAACUGAAACAUCUAAGUACCCCGAGGAAAAGAAAUCAACCGAGAUUCCCCCAGUAGCGGCGAGCGAACGGGGAGCAGCCCAGAGCCUGAAUCAGUAUGUGUGUUAGUGGAAGCGUCUGGAAAGGCGCGCGAUACAGGGUGACAGCCCCGUACACAAAAAUGCACAUGCUGUGAGCUCGAUGAGUAGGGCGGGACACGUGGUAUCCUGUCUGAAUAUGGGGGGACCAUCCUCCAAGGCUAAAUACUCCUGACUGACCGAUAGUGAACCAGUACCGUGAGGGAAAGGCGAAAAGAACCCCGGCGAGGGGAGUGAAAAAGAACCUGAAACCGUGUACGUACAAGCAGUGGGAGCACGCUUAGGCGUGUGACUGCGUACCUUUUGUAUAAUGGGUCAGCGACUUAUAUUCUGUAGCAAGGUUAACCGAAUAGGGGAGCCGAAGGGAAACCGAGUCUUAACUGGGCGUUAAGUUGCAGGGUAUAGACCCGAAACCCGGUGAUCUAGCCAUGGGCAGGUUGAAGGUUGGGUAACACUAACUGGAGGACCGAACCGACUAAUGUUGAAAAAUUAGCGGAUGACUUGUGGCUGGGGGUGAAAGGCCAAUCAAACCGGGAGAUAGCUGGUUCUCCCCGAAAGCUAUUUAGGUAGCGCCUCGUGAAUUCAUCUCCGGGGGUAGAGCACUGUUUCGGCAAGGGGGUCAUCCCGACUUACCAACCCGAUGCAAACUGCGAAUACCGGAGAAUGUUAUCACGGGAGACACACGGCGGGUGCUAACGUCCGUCGUGAAGAGGGAAACAACCCAGACCGCCAGCUAAGGUCCCAAAGUCAUGGUUAAGUGGGAAACGAUGUGGGAAGGCCCAGACAGCCAGGAUGUUGGCUUAGAAGCAGCCAUCAUUUAAAGAAAGCGUAAUAGCUCACUGGUCGAGUCGGCCUGCGCGGAAGAUGUAACGGGGCUAAACCAUGCACCGAAGCUGCGGCAGCGACGCUGAUGCGUUGUUGGGUAGGGGAGCGUUCUGUAAGCCUGCGAAGGUGUGCUGUGAGGCAUGCUGGAGGUAUCAGAAGUGCGAAUGCUGACAUAAGUAACGAUAAAGCGGGUGAAAAGCCCGCUCGCCGGAAGACCAAGGGUUCCUGUCCAACGUUAAUCGGGGCAGGGUGAGUCGACCCCUAAGGCGAGGCCGAAAGGCGUAGUCGAUGGGAAACAGGUUAAUAUUCCUGUACUUGGUGUUACUGCGAAGGGGGGACGGAGAAGGCUAUGUUGGCCGGGCGACGGUUGUCCCGGUUUAAGCGUGUAGGCUGGUUUUCCAGGCAAAUCCGGAAAAUCAAGGCUGAGGCGUGAUGACGAGGCACU
This 1390-nucleotide ribosomal RNA is filed under the name Escherichia coli. Its description in RNAcentral is "partial 23S ribosomal RNA". It matches the Rfam family "Bacterial large subunit ribosomal RNA", at positions 146 to 1578 of the family's 2925-position model. Lineage: Bacteria; Pseudomonadati; Pseudomonadota; Gammaproteobacteria; Enterobacterales; Enterobacteriaceae. The record is from RNAcentral.